UGCCAGCAGCCGCGGUAAUACGGAGGGUGCAAGCGUUGUUCGGAUUUACUGGGCGUAAAGGGCGCGUAGGCGGCAAGGCAAGUUAAGGGUGAAAUCCCGGGGCUUAACCCCGGAACUGCUCUUAAAACUGCUUCGCUAGAGACAAUCAGAGGUGGGUGGAAUUCCUGGUGUAGAGGUGAAAUUCGUAGAUAUCAGGAGGAACACCGGCGGCGAAGGCGGCCCACUGGGAUUGUUCUGACGCUAAGGCGCGAAAGCGUGGGGAGCAAACGGGAUUAGAUA
This 279-nucleotide ribosomal RNA is filed under the name uncultured bacterium. RNAcentral's name for it is "partial 16S ribosomal RNA". It matches the Rfam family "Bacterial small subunit ribosomal RNA", at positions 506 to 784 of the family's 1533-position model. The record is from RNAcentral.